GGUAUUCCUUAUCUAUCUAAUCGUUGAUUGUCUGGAACCUGUCCCAUUGCACUCUGACGGCCUGUAAAGGUUCGUAAAAAUGCAAUAAGACAGGUUCUGCGUUUAGUUGCCGCGCUCUAAAAAUUG
This is a non-coding RNA of Enterobacter cloacae S611, 126 nucleotides long. The record is from Rfam. NCBI's taxonomy places the organism in Bacteria, Pseudomonadati, Pseudomonadota, Gammaproteobacteria, Enterobacterales, Enterobacteriaceae.